AUUGAACGCUGGCGGCAGGCCUAACACAUGCAAGUCGAGCGGCAGAAGGGAGCUUGCUCUUGGGUUCAGCGGCGGACGGGUGAGUAAUGCCUAGGAAUGUGCCUGGUAGUGGGGGAUAACGUGCGGAAACGGGGGUUAAUACCGCAUACGUCCUGAGGGAGAAAGUGGGGGAUCUUCGGACCUCACGCUAUCAGAUGAGCCUAGGUCGGAUUAGCUAGUUGGUGGGGUAAAGGCCUACCAAGGCGACGAUCCGUAACUGGUCUGAGAGGAUGAUCAGUCACACUGGAACUGAGACACGGUCCAGACUCCUACGGGAGGCAGCAGUGGGGAAUAUUGGACAAUGGGCGCAAGCCUGAUCCAGCCAUGCCGCGUGUGUGAAGAAGGUCUUCGGGUUGUAAAGCACUUUUGUUUGGGAAGAAAGGCAGUAAGUUAAUACCUUGCUGUUUUGACGUUACCAACAGAAUAAGCACCGGCUAACUUCGUG
This 484-nucleotide ribosomal RNA is filed under the name uncultured bacterium. RNAcentral's name for it is "partial 16S ribosomal RNA". It matches the Rfam family "Bacterial small subunit ribosomal RNA", at positions 30 to 507 of the family's 1533-position model. The record is from RNAcentral.